RNAcentral lists this ribosomal RNA (253 nucleotides) under uncultured bacterium. RNAcentral's name for it is "partial 16S ribosomal RNA". It matches the Rfam family "Bacterial small subunit ribosomal RNA", at positions 524 to 776 of the family's 1533-position model. The record is from RNAcentral.
UACGUAGGUGGCAAGCGUUAUCCGGAAUUAUUGGGCGUAAAGCGCGCGCAGGCGGUUUCUUAAGUCUGAUGUGAAAGCCCACGGCUCAACCGUGGAGGGUCAUUGGAAACUGGGGAACUUGAGUGCAGAAGAGAAAAGCGGAAUUCCACGUGUAGCGGUGAAAUGCGUAGAGAUGUGGAGGAACACCAGUGGCGAAGGCAGCUCGCUGGGACGUUACUGACGCUGAGGCGCGAAAGCGUGGGGAGCGAACAGG